Long non-coding RNA from Bombus impatiens (common eastern bumble bee), 2322 nucleotides. RefSeq lists it as uncharacterized. The transcript has 2 exons. NCBI's taxonomy places the organism in Eukaryota, Metazoa, Arthropoda, Insecta, Hymenoptera, Apidae. The record is from RefSeq and is a predicted model, not a curated record.
GUCCUGACAGUUAUUUCGAAAAUUAAGGUGCAUGGAUGGUAUCCUGGGUAUAAUGGCGUCGUUAAAAUUUUAUCGUCGCUUGUCUUUUACGGGGGAAUCGGUUUAAGGCUACUGGGAAUUAGAGAAGUGUACGAGGGGUGUUAAUUAAAGCGGUGAAAGAUGUAAGAGGAAAUAUUAUGUCGUGAUGUAAUGCUUCACUUAUGACGAUGUAAGUAACCUGGAAUUGUAUUAAAAUCAUGAAAUCAGCCAAAUCAUAGUGGUAAGUCAACUGAACAUUUUAAUUGCAAGCAUAACACGAUUUCGAGCAAUAUAUUUAUGCAAUAGAAAUGUCAGUAUAUAAUAGAGCAAUUCGAUAAUAGACGUUUAAGAAAUCUUAUCAACUAAUAGACGUUAAGUAUAUACAUGUAAGUUGAAUGCAUUGUAUGCCUGGUUAUAAAAUAUAUCUAAAUUGGACGAGAAAUUAAAAAGAGCAGAAUACGUAUCUCUGGAAAAAGAUAACUUUACAGAUUUUCUCGACGACUGUAACUAACUAUAGAAAGUUCUGCGACUAAAAGUAUAUAUUACGACCUCUCAACCAGGUGACGAUCAGUCAUGUUGUAACUGUUCGGUUGAGGUCGCAAACCCUGAACGAUAUUAACGUUCAAGGUGGAGGGAAAUUAAAGGAUUUCUGUAUUUAUAGAUUUUAUUUGAAGUGUUUAGUAUAAACGUAAGAGUAUGGAACGUAAGUAAUAGAGUUUAAAUAUGCGACGAGUGCGUGAUGAGUCUUUUUCUCUCGAAGCGCCUGGUGUUUAUAUUUUAAAUGUCAGUGUAGAGGGUGUGUUGUCGUCAACGUUUCCUGUGAAGUGGGAGUCUGUGUCUGUUCAGUCCUGUGACUGUCGAACUGUCGUUGGCGUCUCGCAUGUGGUGCGUUCUGUAUCUACCUGGCCGAGGAUGCGGAGCAUAACGUCUAGUUAACGACAUCGUCCUUGGUCUGUUGUCGAGUUCUCAUCUGGUCGAAGUUGACACGUCGUUUGCUGUUGAGCGGAUCCGUCGAGCGCUUAACACUAGAUUUACGGGACCUGUCAAUUUAACGGAUUUCAAACUUCGAAAUGAAAUACCAUUUUGCAUCGUAAAUUAAUCAUUUCAUCCAAAGAAUUUAUACACACAAUUAUUUUAUGUUUGGUUGUGUAACUAGUGCUUUCGAAUUGAUAAUUGACAGACACAUAAUGGAGCACAUAAAAGAUUGCGCUGAAACCGAGGCGCAUCGAGUUUUGAAAAAAGACGUGACGUAGUUUUCUAAGAAUUCUAUAUGCCCGGGGCGCAUAUGAAGCGAGAUCAUUGAAAGCUUCCGAAAGAUUACAAACAGAUAAAUUUGCGCUGACAUCCGAAAUAUGGAACAGGCUUGUUAUAAGCCUUAUGAAAAUAUCUCAAUAGAUGAAUAAUUAUUUCCAACGAAAGUGCGAUGCAGGUUUACGCAAUAUAUGUCGAAUAAGCCUCAUAAAUUUGGCAUUAAGUUUUGGUUAGCAGUUGAGUCCAAACAAAAUAUAUUUUGAAUGGUAUCCCUUAUAUGGGGAAAGAUGAAACUCGAUGCUCAAAAUCGUUGGGCAAGUUUGUAACAUUAAAAUUAGCCGAACCAUAUUUAAACGAGGCAGAAAUAUAACGACAGAUAAUUUCUUUACAAGCAUCCCGCUAUCUAAAAAAUUACUUGCAGAAAAAACAACCUUGGCAAAAAAGGACAAAAUGACUUUGUUUUUCUCACAUUUAUGUAAAUCAGAAAACUGCACGCUUACUGUGUAUAAAAGUAAACCUAACGUAAAAGUCCUCCCUCUAAACACCAAACAUACAGGUGUACAAGUAGAAGACAAUUGUAAACGUGUUCCAGAAAUCAUUACUUUUUAUAAUAAAACAAAGUUUGGCGUGGAUCGUUGUUGUGGUGUGUCGUUGACCAGAUGGCACGCAAAUAUAGUGUGAAAGCAGGGAGUUUCCGAUGGCCCCUUUAAGCUUUUUUCAAUAUUUUAGAUUUGGCAGCGAUAAACGCGUGGAUAUUAUGUAAAGAGUACACCGGAUCGAAAAUAUCCAGAAAGCAGUUCAUAUUUUAUUUAGCCGAGGAAUUAGCUGGAGAAAACAAGAAGAACAUUUACCAAAGAUCAGAUGCUUUAUUUCUGUCACCUUCAACGUCAGAAGUGCGAAGAAGUUGUGGGCAAGUGGGUUACUGCAAAAAGAAAAUAGAAGCAAUAAUUGUUGUAUAUAUUGCAAAAAGAUCGUAUGCGGAAAAUGCACAAACAAAAUUCAGUAUAUUUGUAAAAAAUGUGCUCAAUAAAUAUGAUUACCCUAUACCGUUAA